GUGCAGCAGUCGAGAAACCUCCGCAAUACACGAAAGUGUGACGGGGCCAUCCCGAGUGCCGUCCGCUGAGGACGGCUUUUCCCCAGUGUACACAGCUGGGGGAAUAAGGAGAGGGCAAGCCUGGUGUCAGCCGCCGCGGUAAUACCAGCUCUCCGAGUGGUGGGGACGCUUAUUGGGCCUAAAGCAUCCGUAGCCGGCUGGGCAAGUCCUCCGUUAAAUCCAACGAUUCAAUCGUUGGGCUGCGGGGGAUACUGUCCAGCUUGGGGGCGGGAGAGGCCGACGGUAUUCCCCGGGGUAGGGGUGAAAUCCUAUAAUCCCGGGAGGACCACCAGUGGCGAAGGCUGUCGGCUAGAACGCGCCCGACGGUGAGGGAUGAAAGCGUGGGGGAGCGGAACCGGAUUAGAUACCCGGGUAGU
Molecule: ribosomal RNA, 416 nt
Filed under: uncultured microorganism
Description: bacterial SSU rRNA
Rfam family: Archaeal small subunit ribosomal RNA
Source: RNAcentral